RNAcentral lists this long non-coding RNA (376 nucleotides) under Phoenix dactylifera (date palm). RNAcentral's name for it is "long non-coding RNA (PDAC_LNC003948)". The record is from RNAcentral. Lineage: Eukaryota; Viridiplantae; Streptophyta; Magnoliopsida; Arecales; Arecaceae.
UUGAGGGAUAAGCAUUAUGCAGCAUAUAAUGAUGAUAUGUGUUGCUGGACGGUGUCUUAUGCACCUCACUUAGGUGUUUGCUUUGGGAUAUUCAAGAAGCCUUAUGUUCUCUGAAAGUAUGAUGUUGCCAUUCAUUAUCCACGUAAGAUUGUUGCUCAUCUGUGAUGCCCAGUGCUUAUGGCCAUUUAAUUGCUAACAAAUUUCGUCAGGUUUUGAAAUAUUGUCAACAACUUAGUAUGAGUAUGUGGGGAGAUAACGCUAGAGACCUAAGCCUACUAAAAGAGUAGUUUUCUUGUAUGACAACUCAUUGAAAUUUGAUGUCUUAAAAACUAAACUAUACAACCUUGAUAUAUUUUGAUGAACUUGAUUCCUUCUU